Ruditapes philippinarum (Manila clam) is the source of this 614-nucleotide long non-coding RNA. RefSeq lists it as uncharacterized. The transcript has 3 exons. NCBI's taxonomy places the organism in Eukaryota, Metazoa, Mollusca, Bivalvia, Venerida, Veneridae. The record is from RefSeq and is a predicted model, not a curated record.
AAUGGUUCUUCCAACUGCAAAAACGUUCCUGGAUCUUAUACAUGUACUGGCAGUUCUGACACUGGUAACGUGUAUGUUAUCAUAGGAGCGGUUGUAGGCUCAGUGUGUUUACUCGUAUGUCUCGUGGUUGGUCUUCUAGUUAUUAUAAGGAAAUCCCGGAAGUGUACAACCUCAGUCGCUAGUCAACAUCAUCAGGAAGACAGGGAACAAGAGCAUCAUUAACAGUGAAGCAGGGACAACUGUAAACAAUAUCUAAAUGAAGAACAUCAAUAACUCAAAUAAAGUAUUAUUAUAAACAGUACUGAAGAAAAAAAUUCUGAAGAAGAAGCGUUAUAAUCAGAGUAGCAUUUUAAAACAAACAUAAUAACAGAGUAAUUAGAUAAGAUAUGACAAUGGUGACAAUAUCAAAAUCUGAAAAUUAGUGACCGACCACUGCAUCACAUUUUGAACUUUUGUAUAUUUUAAAAGAAAAUGGAUUUAUGAGUUCAUCAAAAUUCUGCUCUUUAAACAUUUUUAAUGACACAAGAUAUUCAUAAACGAACACUAUUAAGUGUUGAGAAUUGUGUACCGCAUAAGCCGGUGCUAGGGGGCGUGAGGGUUUUUGCACGUAUUCA